GGACGAACGCUGGCGGCGUGCCUAACACAUGCAAGUCGAGCGAGGAGAUCCUCGGGAUGAUCCUAGCGGCGGACGGGUGAGUAACACGUGGGCAACCUGCCUCAUAGAGAGGAAUAGCCUUCCGAAAGGGAGAUUAAUACCUCAUAACAUUGCAGUUUCGCAUGGAACAGCAAUUAAAGGAGUAAUCCGCUAUGAGAUGGGCCCGCGGCGCAUUAGCUAGUUGGUGAGGUAACGGCUCACCAAGGCGACGAUGCGUAGCCGACCUGAGAGGGUGAUCGGCCACAUUGGGACUGAGACACGGCCCAGACUCCUACGGGAGGCAGCAGUGGGGAAUAUUGCACAAUGGGGGAAACCCUGAUGCAAGCAACGCCGCGUGAGUGAUGACGGCCUUCGGGUUGUAAAGCUCUGUCUUCAGGGACGAUAAUGACGGUACCUGAGGAGGAAGCCACGGCUAACUACGUGCCAGCAGCCGC
This 473-nucleotide ribosomal RNA is filed under the name uncultured bacterium. Its description in RNAcentral is "bacterial SSU rRNA". It matches the Rfam family "Bacterial small subunit ribosomal RNA", at positions 27 to 518 of the family's 1533-position model. The record is from RNAcentral.